RNAcentral lists this long non-coding RNA (226 nucleotides) under Setaria italica (foxtail millet). Its description in RNAcentral is "long non-coding RNA (SITA_LNC002453)". Lineage: Eukaryota; Viridiplantae; Streptophyta; Magnoliopsida; Poales; Poaceae. The record is from RNAcentral.
CCUGGUACCGUUAUUCCUCAGGUCUGAGGGUCAGAUCGUAAGUUUUCCCGAUCUGACUCCUUGUUCUUGUCUGAAUCGACCAAGCUUGGGAGAUUCAUCUUAAAUUUAGGAAAACUUAGAAAAUGUGAAAUCACUUGGGUUGGAAUCCUCCUUCUGAGUAGAAUCCAAUAGAAUGGGAUUUCACACCUUUCCUGUAGUUUUGCUACAGUUUUGGGGCUAAAUCUUG